CAGCCAGAGGGAGUCGUGGCCUGUAGGACCUAGCUUGGUCAUUAGGAAGCCAGUGAGACCUGGAAAUAGCACAAGAGGGAAGGAGACUGCCAAGGUCAUUGAACUGCAGAUCCCAACAACCGCAUCAGCCGCACUCAUCAAGAAGUGCAGACAGAAUGUGUUUCCCCAAACCUACACUGUUAAUGGUCAACACUGUCAACUUCUUGGAUGCAGAACUGUAUAGAGAAGAUCAAACCAAACAUUGCUUGAGAAUCUGGACCAUAAGGAACCACACCAGAAACUAAGACACGAAGAACCUCAACGCUUUUAAGGGACACUCCUCUAUAUGGCUGUCCAUUAAUCCAAACUGAGAGGUCUCCUUUCUUAUAUGCUGGACAACAUCCAUUUCCUGUUCCUCAGGGUACUUGAAGGCUGAAGCAGCCCAAAUGAUGAUUUUUGCUGCCAGCUGGGGGCACUCAGCCCAGGCCUUGAGCUGGUUGUAGGUGACUGAAAUUUGAGUGCUACCAGGAGGAUCCUCCAUAAUUCCUCAUCCCAAACUGUGAACUGAAUUCAGUGUUCACCUCUGAACAGGGAUAAGAAAACCAGCCUGGAAAAUAAUACUCAUUUCAGUAUUGCUAUCCACACUGCAUCCAACCUGAGAGUCUGAACAUCAGCAUCCAUGUGUUGACUGGUGGGACCUGCACUUGGGAUGUUGUGCAAACCCCAGACAGAUUGUGACAGAAGACUAGCAUACUUCAGAAACAUUUCUGCUGGUCCAGAUAGAAGUAGAAGCAGCUGGCAGAGACUCCGUGACAGAAAAGAGCAGCACGUUAGGCAAUGCAGUGGAAAGAGUGCUGUUGUUGGUUAGAAGAAGCUAUCUGCCUGUAUGGUGGUGCCUGGAGUCAAUCUUCACUGUGUCUUCCACCAUUCAGGCUGCCCUUUGUAAAAAGCAUGUCCAAAAGAAGGAGGAAUUUACUCCUGUAAGGACCCUUAAAGACUGGUUUGGCUCCUGCCUGGGAAUUUCAAAACAAACAAAGCCUCAGAAACAGACAAGAAACACAACAAAGAAGAUACUGAUGUCAUAAGGUACUUCCAGAUUCUCAGCAGAAAUAGUAAUGUGGAGGGAAGGAGCCAAUACAGAUUUUCUUCAAGAGUUCAGCCUCACAACUUUUCUGAGAAUAUCAACAGUUUCCAUUCAUCUACCUUUACCUCAUUGCUUCAGGCCCUUCUCCAUCGCCCAAACGCCUCCAUAAAGUCAUUCAUGGAUAUCACACAGG
RNAcentral lists this long non-coding RNA (1256 nucleotides) under Gallus gallus (chicken). RNAcentral describes it as "lncRNA (ENSGALG00010006683.1)". Lineage: Eukaryota; Metazoa; Chordata; Aves; Galliformes; Phasianidae. The record is from RNAcentral.